CGUGUAGGCGGCUGAGCAAGUCAGAUGUGAAAUCCCUGGGCUUAACCCAGGAAGUGCAUUUGAAACUGCUUAGCUUGAGUAAGGAAGAGGGAAGUGGAAUUCCUGGUGUAGAGGUGAAAAUUCGUAGAUAUCAGGAGGAACACCGGUGGCGAAGGCGACUUCCUGGUCCUAUACUGACGCUGAGACGCGAGAGCGUGGGGAGCAAACA
Molecule: ribosomal RNA, 208 nt
Filed under: uncultured Syntrophus sp.
Lineage: Bacteria; Pseudomonadati; Thermodesulfobacteriota; Syntrophia; Syntrophales; Syntrophaceae
Description: partial 16S ribosomal RNA
Rfam family: Bacterial small subunit ribosomal RNA
Source: RNAcentral